AGCUUUGCGCAGUGGCAGUAUCAUAGCCAAUAAAGUUUAUCUGAGGCACAAUUAUUGCUAGAAAAUUAGAUUAAGAAU
This 78-nucleotide small nuclear RNA is filed under the name Oryctolagus cuniculus (rabbit). RNAcentral describes it as "U4 spliceosomal RNA". It matches the Rfam family "U4 spliceosomal RNA", at positions 1 to 82 of the family's 138-position model. Rfam says of the family: U4 small nuclear RNA (U4 snRNA) is a component of the major U2-dependent spliceosome. Lineage: Eukaryota; Metazoa; Chordata; Mammalia; Lagomorpha; Leporidae. The record is from Rfam by way of RNAcentral.